GAACGCUGGCGGAACGCUUUACACAUGCAAGUCGAACGGUAACGCGGAGAGAAGCUUGCUUCUCUCCGGCGACGAGUGGCGAACGGGUGAGUAAUACAUCGGAACGUGUCCGCUCGUGGGGGACAACCAGCCGAAAGGUUGGCUAAUACCGCAUGAGUUCUACGGAAGAAAGAGGGGGACCCGCAAGGGCCUCUCGCGAGCGGAGCGACCGAUGACUGAUUAGCCGGUUGGUGAGGUAACGGCUCACCAAAGCAACGAUCAGUAGCUGGUCUGAGAGGACGACCAGCCACACUGGGACUGAGACACGGCCCAGACUCCUACGGGAGGCAGCAGUGGGGAAUUUUGGACAAUGGGCGCAAGCCUGAUCCAGCUAUUCCGCGUGUGGGAUGAAGGCCCUCGGGUUGUAAACCACUUUUGUAGAGAACGAAAAGACACCUUCGAAUAAAGGGUGUUGCUGACGGUACUCUAAGAAUAAGCACCGGCUAACUACGUGCCAGCAGCCGCGGUAAUACGUAGGGUGCGAGCGUUAAUCGGAAUUACUGGGCGUAAAGGGUGCGCAGGCGGUUGAGUAAGACAGAUGUGAAAUCCCCGAGCUUAACUCGGGAAUGGCAUAUGUGACUGCUCGACUAGAGUGUGUCAGAGGGAGGUGGAAUUCCACGUGUAGCAGUGAAAUGCGUAGAUAUGUGGAAGAACACCGAUGGCGAAGGCAGCCUCCUGGGACAUAACUGACGCUCAGGCACGAAAGCGUGGGGAGCAAACAGGAUUAGAUACCCUGGUAGUCCACGCCUUAAACGAUGUUAAUUAGUUGUUGGGAAGUAAAAUUGUCUGUAACGCAGCCAACGCGAGAAGUUAACCGCCUGGGAAGUACGGUCGCAAGACUAAAACUCAAAGGAAUUGACGGGGACCCGCACAAGCGGUGGAUGAUGUGGAUUAAUUAGAUGCAACGCGAAAAACCUUACCUACCCUUGACAUGUCAGGAAGCUUUUGUAAUGAGAGUGUGCCCGCAAGGGAGCCUGAACACAGGUGCUGCAUGGCUGUAGUCAGCUCGUGUCGUGAGAUGUUGGGUUAAGUCCCGCAACGAGCGCAACCUUUGUCAUUAGUUGGUAUGAAAGGGCACUGUAGUGAGACUGCCGGUGACAAACCGGAGGAAGGUGGGGAUGACGUCAAGUCCUCAUGGCCCUUAUGGGUAGGGCUUCACACGUCAUACAAUGGUCGGAACAGAGGGCAGCGAAGUCGUGAGACGGAGCCAAUCCCAGAAAACCGAUCGUAGUCCGGAUUGCAGUCUGCAACUCGACUGCAUGAAGUCGGAAUCGGUAGUAAUCGCGGAUCAGCAUGCCGCGGUGAAUACGUUCCCGGGUCUUGUACACACCGCCCGUCAAACAAUGGGAGUGGUGUUUACCAGAAGUCGUUAGCCUAACCGCAAGGAGGGCGGCGACCUCGGUGAGCACCGUGACUA
This 1456-nucleotide ribosomal RNA is filed under the name uncultured organism. Its description in RNAcentral is "SSU rRNA". It matches the Rfam family "Bacterial small subunit ribosomal RNA". The record is from RNAcentral.